RNAcentral lists this ribosomal RNA (472 nucleotides) under uncultured bacterium. Its description in RNAcentral is "bacterial SSU rRNA". It matches the Rfam family "Bacterial small subunit ribosomal RNA", at positions 28 to 497 of the family's 1533-position model. The record is from RNAcentral.
GAUGAACGCUGGCGGCGUGCUUAACACAUGCAAGUCGAACGGAGUGCCUUAGAAAGAGGAUUCGUCCAAUUGAUAAGGUUACUUAGUGGCGGACGGGUGAGUAACGCGUGAGGAACCUACCUCGGAGUGGGGAAUAACAGACCGAAAGGCCUGCUAAUACCGCAUGAUGCAGUUGGACCGCAUGGUCCUGACUGCCAAAGAUUUAUCGCUCUGAGAUGGCCUCGCGUCUGAUUAGCUUGUUGGCGGGGUAAUGGCCCACCAAGGCGACGAUCAGUAGCCGGACUGAGAGGUUGGCCGGCCACAUUGGGACUGAGACACGGCCCAGACUCCUACGGGAGGCAGCAGUGGGGAAUAUUGGGCAAUGGGCGCAAGCCUGACCCAGCAACGCCGCGUGAAGGAAGAAGGCUUUCGGGUUGUAAACUUCUUUUCUCAGGGACGAACAAAUGACGGUACCUGAGGAAUAAGCCACGGC